Molecule: ribosomal RNA, 542 nt
Filed under: uncultured bacterium
Lineage: Bacteria
Description: partial 16S ribosomal RNA
Rfam family: Bacterial small subunit ribosomal RNA
Source: RNAcentral
UGGGGAAUUUUGGACAAUGGGCGAAAGCCUGAUCCAGCAAUGCCGCGUGUGUGAAGAAGGCCUUCGGGUUGUAAAGCACUUUUGUCCGGAAAGAAAUCCUUGGCUCUAAUACAGUCGGGGGAUGACGGUACCGGAAGAAUAAGCACCGGCUAACUACGUGCCAGCAGCCGCGGUAAUACGUAGGGUGCAAGCGUUAAUCGGAAUUACUGGGCGUAAAGCGUGCGCAGGCGGUUUGCUAAGACCGAUGUGAAAUCCCCGGGCUCAACCUGGGAACUGCAUUGGUGACUGGCAGGCUAGAGUAUGGCAGAGGGGGGUAGAAUUCCACGUGUAGCAGUGAAAUGCGUAGAGAUGUGGAGGAAUACCGAUGGCGAAGGCAGCCCCCUGGGCCAAAUACUGACGCUCAUGCACGAAAGCGUGGGGAGCAAAACAGGAUUAGAUACCCUGGUAGUCCACGCCCUAAACGAUGUCAACUAGUUGUUGGGGAUUCAUUUCCUUAGUAACGUAGCUAACGCGUGAAGUUGACCGCCCGGGGAGUACGGUCG